CUUGGCAGCACUGCCAGGUCUCCCUGGGGGCUGCGCUGUUUGACCCUGUGCCGUCCUGAGGCCUGGGCCAGAUGCUGCUUCCUCCAGGGAAGAUUUGUUCUCCCUCCCAGUAGCUCCCCAGGGACCUCCCACACCACUGCCCUGGGCCCUGUGUGUAUAGGCCCAGAUUUUUCUCUGUGUCCUUUAUUACCAGCUCUGUUUACAGAUCCCUGGAGUCAGGGGAAGGGGUGAGCUCAGAUCUGAGGCCAAGAGGCCAUUUCCCAGCUGGCUGCAGCUGAGGCUGGUGGCCGUGUCUGAGCGUCGUGGAGCCCGGGUCCACAGCACCCAGGUGGCGGGGGACAGGGAUGCCCGGCCCAGGUGCCAGCGGCGCCCUGACCAGCCACGGCCUCAAAGUGACUCUCCUGCUCUGCUCCAGCCACACCUGCAUGCUGUGGCGGGCGCUGGCGGUGGAGCCUCGCCUAGCUGCCCAGGUCCUGGGGCUGCUGCUGGAGAAGAUGAGUAAGGACGUCCCGUUCAAGGAGAGCCGGGCCUUCCUGCUGGGCCGCACCCCAGACCGCGUGGCCACGCUGCUGCCUCUCUCGGCUACCUGUGCACUGUUUGAGGUCAUGUCCACGCCUGCAGCGGGGCCCGCGGUGCUAGAGCUCUACCCCCAGCUGUUUGUGGUGCUUCUGCUGCGCGUCAGCUGCACCGUGGGUGUCCAGCUGCCCCGG
RNAcentral lists this small RNA (710 nucleotides) under Pan troglodytes (chimpanzee). RNAcentral describes it as "retained intron". Lineage: Eukaryota; Metazoa; Chordata; Mammalia; Primates; Hominidae. The record is from RNAcentral.